This 497-nucleotide ribosomal RNA is filed under the name uncultured bacterium. Its description in RNAcentral is "partial 16S ribosomal RNA". It matches the Rfam family "Bacterial small subunit ribosomal RNA", at positions 28 to 523 of the family's 1533-position model. The record is from RNAcentral.
GAUGAACGCUGGCGGCGUGCUUAACACAUGCAAGUCGAACGAAGCAUUUAGAACGGAUUACUUCGGUUUGAAGUUCUUUAUGACUGAGUGGCGGACGGGUGAGUAACGCGUGGGUAACCUGCCUUGUACUGGGGGAUAGCAGCUGGAAACGGCUGGUAAUACCGCAUAAGCGCACAAUGUUGCAUGACAUGGUGUGAAAAACUCCGGUGGUAUAAGAUGGACCCGCGUCUGAUUAGCUAGUUGGUGAGAUAACAGCCCACCAAGGCGACGAUCAGUAGCCGACCUGAGAGGGUGACCGGCCACAUUGGGACUGAGACACGGCCCAGACUCCUACGGGAGGCAGCAGUGGGGAAUAUUGCACAAUGGAGGAAACUUUGACGCGGCGACGCCGCGUGAGUGAAGAAGUAAUUCGUUAUGUAAAGCUCUAUCAGCAGGGAAGAUAGUGACGGUACCUGACUAAGAAGCUCCGGCUAAAUACGUGCCAGCCGCCGCAGUAA